This 104-nucleotide ribosomal RNA is filed under the name uncultured Alphaproteobacteria bacterium. RNAcentral describes it as "partial 16S ribosomal RNA". Lineage: Bacteria; Pseudomonadati; Pseudomonadota; Alphaproteobacteria. The record is from RNAcentral.
ACUGUCAUUAUCAUCUCUGGCGAAGAGCUUUACGACCCUAGAGGCCUUCAUCACACACGCGGCAUGGCUAGAUCAGGCUUGCCCCCAUUGUCUAAGAUUCCCUA